This 497-nucleotide ribosomal RNA is filed under the name uncultured bacterium. RNAcentral describes it as "partial 16S ribosomal RNA". It matches the Rfam family "Bacterial small subunit ribosomal RNA", at positions 28 to 507 of the family's 1533-position model. The record is from RNAcentral.
GACGAACGCUGGCGGCGUGCCUAAUACAUGCAAGUUGAGCGAUGAAGAUUGGUGCUUGCACCAAUUUGAAGAGCAGCGAACGGGUGAGUAACGCGUGGGGAAUCUGCCUUUGAGCGGGGGACAACAUUUGGAAACGAAUGCUAAUACCGCAUAACAACUUUAAACAUAAGUUUUAAGUUUGAAAGAUGCAAUUGCAUCACUCAAAGAUGAUCCCGCGUUGUAUUAGCUAGUUGGUGAGGUAAAGGCUCACCAAGGCGAUGAUACAUAGCCGACCUGAGAGGGUGAUCGGCCACAUUGGGACUGAGACACGGCCCAAACUCCUACGGGAGGCAGCAGUAGGGAAUCUUCGGCAAUGGACGAAAGUCUGACCGAGCAACGCCGCGUGAGUGAAGAAGGUUGUCGGAUCGUAAAAUUCUGUUGGUAGAGAAGGACGUUGGUGAGAGUGGAAAGCUCAUCAAGUGACGGUAACUACCCAGAAAGGGACGGCUAACUACGUG